UAAAAAUGAUUGACGCCUGUAUAUAUAUAUAGAGCAGGGCUACUAUACUAUUAUGAUCAUUGGACCCUUCGUACUUAUAAGUUGUUUUCGAUGAUGGAGCUUCCAAAUCGACGAUCCACUCCGUUAAAUAUGAUCUAGAAUAUUUGAAAUUUCUAGAAAAUAAAUUUCGUAAUUUUUUUAAAUCAUAAUAAAGUCCAUCAAGCGGGCAUAAAAUGAACAGUCAAAAUCGAACGAUGUCUUAAAAAUGGAUGAUCGGAUCCUUCAAUUUAAGAUCAGAGUUGUUGAUCUUUAUCUAGAUAG
Molecule: long non-coding RNA, 300 nt
Filed under: Ananas comosus (pineapple)
Lineage: Eukaryota; Viridiplantae; Streptophyta; Magnoliopsida; Poales; Bromeliaceae
Description: long non-coding RNA (ACOM_LNC036467)
Source: RNAcentral